AUGUCGGUGCUGGCUGACAUGCUGGCGGAGGUCUUCCGCGAGCCGACCCUGGCCGGGGUGGCGCGGGAGCUGGCGACCCUCGCCGCGCCGCUCUGGCUCGCGGCACUUGUUGGGCUGCUCAUCGGCUGGGCCUGGCGCCCGCGCUGGGCAGCCGCCGUCGCCGGCCCCCAGCAACCGGUGCUGGCGGCAGCAGCGGCAGCGCAGGCCCCUGCCCAGCCAUCGCUGACGCAGGCCACGGCCGCCGACCACUUGGCCGUCGUACCUAGAGCUAAGGCGGCCUCCAUGGCGCCGGUGGAGGAAGAAUUGGCGGUCAGCACCCCGGACCUGAUGCACCUCCGCAGGGUCGUCGAGGAGAAGGACGGCGGCCCCGCCUGGACGCACAUGAUGGACCGCACGCUCCCGACAUUCCGAUACCAGGCCUGGAAAAGAGAACCCCAGAACGGCCCGCCGCAGUACCGCAGUAGCACCAUCUUCGAAGACGCGUCGCCGGAUGUCGUGAGGGAUUUCUUCUGGGACGAUGACUUCCGGAUCAGCAACACCUGGGACGAUAUGCUUCUUGAGCACGAGACGCUGGAGGAGUGCACAAAGACCGGAACGAUGGUUGUUCGCUGGGUCAGGAAGUUCCCAUUCUUCUGCAGCGACAGGGAGUAUGUUAUCGGUCGCAGGAUAUGGGCAUCUGGAAAGACCUACUACUGUGUUACCAAGAGCGUGCCUCGCCCCUCUGUUCCAAGGAGCAGCAAACCUCGCCGUGUGGACCUGUACUACUCUAGCUGGUGCAUCCGUCCAGUUGAAUCAAGAAACGGUGAUGGUGCAAUGACGGCAUGUGAGGUGCUCCUGUUUCAUCAUGAAGACAUGGGUAUCCCAUGGAGCAUCGCGAAGCUGGGUGUGCAGCAGGGUAUGUGGGGAUGCGUCAAACGGAUCGAGCCUGGCCUGCGGGCAUACCAGACCGCGAGGGCCGCCGGCGAGCCCAUCUCGAAAUGCGCAGCGAUGGCACACGCCAACACAAAGUUUGUCGCCAACGAGCUCACCGCUUCAGAAAACAACACCGAGGCCGGUUCGACCAGCAACAACGCCCAAGCCGAGAAGCCGAAGCACUGGACAGGCAACCUACCCAAAGUCUUCGUGAUAGGCAGCGUGGUCGCGCUGGCUUGCACCUUCGACAAGGGGCUACUGACCAAGGCCCUCGUAUUCGGAACGGCGAGAAGGUUUGCAGGACCAGGAAGAAGAUAG
Molecule: ribosomal RNA, 1230 nt
Filed under: Triticum aestivum (bread wheat)
Lineage: Eukaryota; Viridiplantae; Streptophyta; Magnoliopsida; Poales; Poaceae
Description: partial small subunit ribosomal RNA
Source: RNAcentral